Molecule: ribosomal RNA, 482 nt
Filed under: Streptomyces sp. 064-3.2-LH-A-05
Lineage: Bacteria; Bacillati; Actinomycetota; Actinomycetes; Kitasatosporales; Streptomycetaceae
Description: bacterial SSU rRNA
Rfam family: Bacterial small subunit ribosomal RNA
Source: RNAcentral
AUUCCUGGCUCAGGAUGAACGCUGGCGGCGUGCUUAACACAUGCAAGUCGAACGAUGAAGCCCUUCGGGGUGGAUUAGUGGCGAACGGGUGAGUAACACGUGGGCAAUCUGCCCUUCACUCUGGGACAAGCCCUGGAAACGGGGUCUAAUACCGGAUAACACCGGCUUCCGCAUGGGAGCUGGUUAAAAGCUCCGGCGGUGAAGGAUGAGCCCGCGGCCUAUCAGCUUGUUGGUGGGGUAAUGGCCUACCAAGGCGACGACGGGUAGCCGGCCUGAGAGGGCGACCGGCCACACUGGGACUGAGACACGGCCCAGACUCCUACGGGAGGCAGCAGUGGGGAAUAUUGCACAAUGGGCGAAAGCCUGAUGCAGCGACGCCGCGUGAGGGAUGACGGCCUUCGGGUUGUAAACCUCUUUCAGCAGGGAAGAAGCGAAAGUGACGGUACCUGCAGAAGAAGCGCCGGCUAACUACGUGCCAGCAG